Molecule: ribosomal RNA, 85 nt
Filed under: Lasiodiplodia pseudotheobromae
Lineage: Eukaryota; Fungi; Ascomycota; Dothideomycetes; Botryosphaeriales; Botryosphaeriaceae
Description: partial 28S ribosomal RNA
Source: RNAcentral
AACCUUCUGAACUUUUCUCAAGGUUGACCUCGGAUCAGGUAGGGAUACCCGCUGAACUUAAGCAUAUCAAAGUCGGGAGGAAAAC